This 245-nucleotide ribosomal RNA is filed under the name uncultured bacterium. Its description in RNAcentral is "partial 16S ribosomal RNA". It matches the Rfam family "Bacterial small subunit ribosomal RNA", at positions 524 to 768 of the family's 1533-position model. The record is from RNAcentral.
UACAGAGGUCUCAAGCGUUGUUCGGAUUCAUUGGGCGUAAAGGGUGCGUAGGUGGCGAGGUAAGUUGGAUGUGAAAUCCCGGGGCUCAACUCCGGAACUGCAUUCAAUACUGCCUUGCUAGAGUACUGGAGAGGAGAUUGGAAUUUACGGUGUAGCAGUGAAAUGCGUAGAUAUCGUAAGGAAGACCAGUGGCGAAGGCGGAUCUCUGGACAGUUACUGACACUGAGGCACGAAGGCCAGGGGAG